Non-coding RNA from Camellia sinensis, 1023 nucleotides. NCBI's taxonomy places the organism in Eukaryota, Viridiplantae, Streptophyta, Magnoliopsida, Ericales, Theaceae. The record is from RefSeq and is a predicted model, not a curated record.
UAAAUUUUUUUUUUCAAAAAACAGGUGGCAAUUGCACAAAAAAAAAAAAAUACUGUUUUGGUCAACCGGCCGGACGUUCUGGCGGAUGACCAGGUAGAUCUAAAAAUUCAAAAACUAUUCAGAAGGAUGUCUAGGUAAACGACCGAAUAGACCCAAAAAUUCAAAAACUCUCUAGUUACCAAACAUGUUUUGAAAUGUGAUUUGGAAUCAUAUUUUGAAAACUAUAAUCAAACUGAGGGUUGAAAUAUGAGGGUGGAACCAUGAUUCUAGAAUGGAACCAAACAGACCGGAAUUUUUACUUUUACUUUUCUAGAGGAUGUGUUCUAAAUGCAAGUUAAUUACUGGUCAGCAUUGCCAAAGAUGGGCCAGCCUUUACUUUAUCAGUAGUGAGUUGUAGCUUGCAUGAUCUAUUAAGAAACACAAGCGUAAGAUUGAAUAAUGUACAUUGUUAAAUGAUCUGCAGGGCUGCAAACUGCAAACAAAAUUAGCCAUUUAAGCAACUAGAUCUUUUGACAAUAAAUUUGGUUUCAGCUAAAAAAUUAAGCUUGUUUACAAAACACACCAAGCCUGAGCAUAAGCUCAUCUAGAUAAGCUUGUUAACAUUGAUUGAAUUUGAAAGGUAUUUAUGUAUUCUAUUGAAUUGUCUACCUGUCCGUCAACAGUAAACUCCCUUCAUUGACUUAUGCGUGUAUUCUAUGAGAAUAAAUAUUAAUAGAACUGUAGGAAAUAGUAAAUAAUAAAGUUCACUUAUUUUUUCACAUGACUUUGCUUCCCACCUUAUGAGAACGUUAUUGUUUUUCAAAAUUUCAAAUUUCAAACACCAUAUAAAUGAUUGCUUAACAGCUAGAUUUAACUUAGUCCUUUGAUUGAAUUGUGACACGUUUUCAAGCCAAGCCUGCUCGUGAUUUGAUUUGAGUCUAGGUCAAAUAGAAACAUUUGUGCUUGAGUUGAGGUCGUGAACUCUCUUUCCUCACCUAAAAAAGCUUGAAUGACCAAUUUUAAAAAAAAAAAAAAAAAAAAAAA